GUAAAUGAGGGGGCGGGGGGCGCGGUAAAGGGGAGGGGGCAGGGUUGGUUCGGAAUUACGGGGGGUAAAGGGUCCUUAGUCGGUGGGACAAGUCGGUAGUGAAAUCUCUGGGCUUAACUCAGAGGCUGCUGCCGAAACUGUUGUGCUUGAGUGUGAGAGAUGCGAGUGGAAUUACGGGUGUAGCGGUGAAAUGCGUAGAUAUCCGUAGGAACAUCCGAGGCGAAAGCGGCUCGCUGGAUCACAACUGACGCUGAGGGACGAAAGCUAGGGGAGCAAACAGGAUUAGAUACCCUAGUAGUC
RNAcentral lists this ribosomal RNA (300 nucleotides) under uncultured Slackia sp. RNAcentral's name for it is "bacterial SSU rRNA". The stretch from base 52 to 300 matches the Rfam family "Bacterial small subunit ribosomal RNA", at positions 547 to 795 of the family's 1533-position model. Lineage: Bacteria; Bacillati; Actinomycetota; Coriobacteriia; Eggerthellales; Eggerthellaceae. The record is from RNAcentral.